Puntigrus tetrazona (Sumatra barb) is the source of this 1488-nucleotide long non-coding RNA. RefSeq lists it as uncharacterized. Lineage: Eukaryota; Metazoa; Chordata; Actinopteri; Cypriniformes; Cyprinidae. The record is from RefSeq and is a predicted model, not a curated record. The transcript has 4 exons.
ACAUUAUCCCUUGUUUUCCCAGGACAAUGGACAAUAAUACACAUAAUGUUGAUUCAUUAGCAACUAUUUUCGAAAAAAUGGUGAUGUUUUUUUUACGUGAAAUAGUAAGAAUGAUUUUAAAUUUUAUUGUGGAAAAAUAUCCUAUUUCUGAAAAUUUUAUUCUUUAUGUAAUAAUAUUAUUUGUAUUACUAUUAUUACUAUUAUUACUAUUAUUUUGUAGUAUGGCUACAUUUGAUAAUAGAAAUAAUAGACAAAUACUACCAAUUUGACAAAAUACUUGAUGAUGAAUUACGUUAAUAAUUACUUAAAAAAAAAAAAAAAAAUCUUAAACUUUUAAAUGUACAUUUUUCUGUUCUGUUUGUUGUAACAUCGGUAGGUAUAAGGGGUGAUGUCAGGUGCGCUGUCUUUCGAUUGCCUUAGAUUUUCAACAAUAGACUGUUUCGUUUUAUGCAAGUUGUGUGUACAAAUUUUCCAUUAAACAAUAUUGUAUCUACACACUGUAUUUAAUUUUUCCAACUUAAAUACUAUAAAAAAAAAUACAUUUUAACAAAAACAUUAACAAAAACAUUUAACAUUUUCCUAAGGUGUUGCUUUAUGACUAUCAAUUUAAAAAGAGCAAUGUAAAUGACAAUUUCAAAAUAUUAGCAUAUUUCCAUAAAAACAUACAAUUAUUCACUAAAUUAAUUUAUUAAUUAGCUAUCUUUAAAGAGUUGUUAUAGGAACACACAAGGAAAAACUAUAGGAAUAAACAAGCAGCCUAAAGUAAAAGGAUCUAAACUCAGGAAGUGAAGACAGAAACGCUGGGGCAGAGAAACACUUCAAAAUUAAAGUCCAAGGGCAGACGCCGAGCCCUCUUGACAGGUGAGAGCGGAGGGCUGGGAAGUCAUCAGGGCCACCAUGAGCAAGAUUGAAAAAUAAUUAGGUUCUCAUAAAUAUAAGAAGUUAUUGUCCAUUGUCCAUUGUCAGGCAGUUGCCCAGAGAGAGAUCUUGUUGUCCUGCCCACAACAAAAGCUGGUGUCAUGCUGGUCUGGAGCAGAUCAUCAUAAUAGUGGUAGAAGAGCGAUUCUGAAAGCUUAAGAUUCGAAACGUCAUCAACGUCUGUGGGACUUCUUCGAUUCUAUCUUCUAUCAUGCAGAAAACAACUCGAACUAUCUCCAGACUGCACGCUUUGGGUGAAGUCUCAAUCAGAUCUCUCUUUGUCAAAUCUUGUGCUGAGGUUCAGUGGAGCAAUGCAAGUAAAAUUGUUCAUUGCAGCUGGCCUCUAAAGAGAUGGUGUCUUGCCAAGCAUAACUGACCACAAAAACCCCUGGUCAUUAAGUUUGAUUGCUCGGAAGCCCCAAAAAAAUAAUUGCAUAAUUUGAAAAAUAGCGCAUCUUGAAAAACUCAUUCUGUUUCUUGAUGUUGUUAUGACUUCUUGACAGUAUGCAUGUAUAAAAAAGCUGAGCGACCUGUUUACUCAUUGUUAUAUGGAAUAAAUGAUGAACAUGA